Molecule: ribosomal RNA, 637 nt
Filed under: uncultured bacterium
Lineage: Bacteria
Description: bacterial SSU rRNA
Rfam family: Bacterial small subunit ribosomal RNA
Source: RNAcentral
GCUCAACCGAGGAAGUGCUUCGAAAACUGGUAAACUUGAGUGCAGAAGAGGAAAGUGGAACUCCAUGUGUAGCGGUGGAAUGCGUAGAUAUAUGGAAGAACACCAGUGGCGAAGGCGGCUUUCUGGUCUGUAACUGACGCUGAGAUUCGAAAGCAUGGGUAGCAAACAGGAUUAGAUACCCUGGUAGUCCAUGCCGUAAACGAUGAGUGCUAAGUGUUGGAGGGUUUCCGCCCUUCAGUGCUGCAGCUAACGCAUUAAGCACUCCGCCUGGGGAGUACGACCGCAAGGUUGAAACUCAAAGGAAUUGACGGGGGCCCGCACAAGCGGUGGAGCAUGUGGUUUAAUUCGAAGCAACGCGAAGAACCUUACCAGGUCUUGACAUACCAUGAAAAGCUUAGAGAUAAGUCUUUCCCUUCGGGGACAUGGAUACAGGUGGUGCAUGGUUGUCGUCAGCUCGUGUCGUGAGAUGUUGGGUUAAGUCCCGCAACGAGCGCAACCCUUAUUAUCAGUUGCCAGCAUUCAGUUGGGCACUCUGGUGAGACUGCCGGUGACAAACCGGAGGAAGGUGGGGACGACGUCAAAUCAUCAUGCCCCUUAUGACCUGGGCUACACACGUGCUACAAUGGUCGGUACAACG